GGUGAUGUAGCUCAGUGGUACAGCACUUGUCUGGCAUGCCUGGGGCCCUGGGUUCAAUCCCUAGCAGUGCCA
This 72-nucleotide transfer RNA is filed under the name Ictidomys tridecemlineatus (thirteen-lined ground squirrel). Its description in RNAcentral is "Spermophilus tridecemlineatus (thirteen-lined ground squirrel) tRNA". It matches the Rfam family "tRNA". From Rfam's summary of the family: Transfer RNA (tRNA) molecules are approximately 80 nucleotides in length. Their secondary structure includes four short double-helical elements and three loops (D, anti-codon, and T loops). The record is from Rfam by way of RNAcentral. Lineage: Eukaryota; Metazoa; Chordata; Mammalia; Rodentia; Sciuridae.